UACAACCUCCGUUACGAAUGGCCAAGGGAAGCGUGGAAAUUUUAAUCAAUAUAUUUACCUGCUCGAAAGCAACUCCACAUAUCUAUAGAUAGAUAUAUUUUCGAAUCGAGUAGUCAGUCAGUGUUCUAUCAACCGAUAUAGAAAUCUUCCAUUACUUAAGACUCCUAAAAUCCGUCAAGAAAGACAGUUUGUGAUUCGUUGUACAAUUAAUAAUGACUGCCGAUGACACAAUCACAAAGCACGAUAAUUAUUAUGGGAUUAAUAAUACGUCGACACCUCUUAACCAGUUCGUCACUGAACUUUUUAUUCGCGCGACGCACUUUCACGCAAGAGAGGGGCGUCUCGACGUGCAGUCAGGCCCCUAUGGACGAAGUCUACGUUGCACCUGCCGACGUCACGUGAUUUUCAAGCUCUAAUCCUUUCCUAUGACGUGCUACCCGUGUUGCCGUAUUAUCCGUAAAUAUAUCAAUUCUUUCUACUGUCUCUUUCCACGUCCUGAAACUGGAUUGCUGAGAAACGGGAUGGAUCGAUGUAACGCGGGAGAGGCUGCGGACGGCCGUUUCGCGUCGCGACGCCGACGCCAGUGCCGUGGCCAUAAGGAAAACGCGGGAGCACCAAAUAAGGACGAGACUCGGAGCCGGCGCGUGGGUUAUAUUUAAAAUAUCAAUAUUUAGCCAUAAUAAUUCAUAAUGAAAAUAUAAAUUUCACCAAAAAAAAAUUUCUUUCAUAAUCCACGUGCCGACGAUAAUGCGCAUAUUAGUUAACGAUAAAGAUUACUUUUAUUUUAAAUAAAAUUUGUAUUCAAAUUACAGGCUGAUUAGACGAAUCGAUGCAUCCAAUAGCGAAAUUACGUAAACAUGAAUAUUGUAAAUCAGCCAUUGUUCUAUAUUCCUAGGAAUUAAAUGCGAAUCAUAAAUCUCAACAAGCAGAAUAUACCAUGGAUAAUUACUGUAUAAAGCUUACACGUGUAUCUGUAUAAAAUAAUAGCAUGGUUAUAGAUAUUU
Molecule: long non-coding RNA, 1004 nt
Organism: Cephus cinctus (wheat stem sawfly)
Lineage: Eukaryota; Metazoa; Arthropoda; Insecta; Hymenoptera; Cephidae
Exons: 2
Source: RefSeq, a predicted model, not a curated record